UUAAGUGGGCCAUGAAGGAUCUGCUGGAUCAGAUAGCAAUUACGUUUGAGCCACAUGUGGGUAUUAUCUGGCACAUAUGGCCUAGAUGUGGCGUGGCUAUUCAGAUAUGGGCCAAAUUGUGGCCAUAUUUGUUUUGCCAUAACUUUAAAAUCGGCGGGAAAUGCUCUCUUGGUUCACAACUCAUUUUGAGGUAUAUGGCCAAGAUAACAACGAACACAUGAGAACCAUAUGUGGUUGAGCUAUGGCACACAGUGAGAAACACGGACUUGUGGUAAACUUUUGGCUUAUACGUGGAAAAACACAGGAAUCCUGAAAUCAAGUGCGGCAGACAUCCUCCAUCCCACACCUCAGGUUGCUAUGCGUCUUCCCUCCUAUUGGUGGAGUGAGACUAUGGCGCGACUGUGACUGAGACUCGGGCAGUGGGCGGCAUUUCCGCUUUCCUCACGACUGUGUAAGCUACGUUCGGAUUUGUCCAGGUGAACAACUCUUCUGCCUCCUACUGAGUCUGCACCAUUCUCCUGGAGAAAGCUGCUCUCUCCUCACCACUUCUGGCUGGACUCCCAGAACCAAACUGACCUGGAAUCUAUUCUAACCAAGGCAUGGCCUUCACUUCUAGAGCUUCCAAAAACUACUGCACCAACUUUCUUCAGCUUUUUUUCACUAACAACUUCACUGUGGAUGUCGCUCGGCCCCCACCUGCCUCUCCGUGUGCCUCGCUCACCCCACCUGCCUCACCGUGUGCCUCGCUCCCCACUCCUGCCUCACCAUGUGCCUCACUCACUCCUCGUGCCUCUCCGUGUGCCUUGCUCCCCACUCUUUUUCCUAGUGUUUGUAGCCUUUGUCAUUUUCCCUAAUUAAAUUCCUUUUUAUGUUAUCCCUGCUUUUGGGUUUGUAUUUUAUCUAAUACUGCCUGUUCUCUGACACUCUCAGCAGUCCCCGCAUUGACCUGACUCAUCAGUCAGGUCAAUGCUGGGAUUUGAGUCAGAUAGAUUAUUUUAGAGAAUCAGUUCAUUUAGUUUUUUUAUAUCACAAUUGCUUACUGAUCAAAAACCACCCAGUCCUAAGUCAGCUGCUAAAUGAAUAACAGCAGAGACCUGGAGCACCCGACCCACCUCAAAUUUGAGGAGAGACCGGUAAUGUCCCAUCCCUCUGCAACUUCCCUGACUCAAUUCGGUGUGGGAGGAAAAAAAUAAAAAGAUGAUUUAAUAAAAAUGUAGGCCAAGUGUUACUGGGGAGGGCUCGGUACAGAGUGGGAGUUUCGAGGUGGCUGUUCAAAAGUUUAAGUCCCCUUUCAGUUUAUCAGAACUGGGAAGGUUGGGUAAACUAUGAUGACUCAAUAGGUAAAAACCCACUGCCUCAGAACUUGCAUCAAGCAAUGUCUUAUGCUGUUGCUCAGAGAUUCCAUUCCCAAGCAUGUGACUGGAAGCUGAUAAAAGACAGAAUUAAUUAACUUCUCAGAGAUAAAAAAAAGUUUUCUCUUUUUUAAAAUUUACAGUAAUGCUGCAAGAACUGUU
Tachysurus fulvidraco (yellow catfish) is the source of this 1514-nucleotide long non-coding RNA. RefSeq lists it as uncharacterized. The record is from RefSeq and is a predicted model, not a curated record. NCBI's taxonomy places the organism in Eukaryota, Metazoa, Chordata, Actinopteri, Siluriformes, Bagridae. The transcript is spliced from 3 exons.